UACAGAGGGUGCAAGCGUUAAUCGGAUUUACUGGGCGUAAAGGGCGCGUAGGUGGUAAAGCAAGUAAGAUGUGAAAGCCCUGGGCUUAACCUGGGAACGUGCAUCUUAAACUGCUUAACUAGAGUAUGGUAGAGGGUAGUGGAAUUUCCGGUGUAGCGGUGAAAUGCGUAGAGAUCGGAAGGAACGCCAGUGGUGAAGACGACUACCUGGACCAAUACUGACACUGAGGCGCGAAAGCGUGGGGAUCAAACAGG
RNAcentral lists this ribosomal RNA (254 nucleotides) under uncultured bacterium. Its description in RNAcentral is "partial 16S ribosomal RNA". It matches the Rfam family "Bacterial small subunit ribosomal RNA", at positions 524 to 776 of the family's 1533-position model. The record is from RNAcentral.